AAUAGAAUUGCUGGAUAAAUUUCAUAACUCUGUGUGUUUAACUUUUUGAGGACCUGCCAACUGUUUUCCAAAGUGGAUGUACUAUUUUACACUCCCAUCAGUAAU
This 105-nucleotide microRNA precursor is filed under the name Marmota monax (woodchuck). Lineage: Eukaryota; Metazoa; Chordata; Mammalia; Rodentia; Sciuridae. The record is from RNAcentral.